GUGAGGCCCCUGGGAAGGCUCUGGGGGAGACCAGAGGAGCUCAAUGUGCCCUGUCUAGGGCAGGGGUAUUUUUAGAGCUGGCUGCACACUGUUUACAAGGAAGCCAGUCCCUUGAGCGUGCCCUCGCCCUACAGGGAAACACUGGCCGCCAGCCCCACCCGCUGGCCCAGGCUCCUGCUGGCCCUCCCUUCCUCCCUCCCUCCCAGCUGUUCCUUUCUUAUCGUCUCUAUCAGCAUGUGGGCUCUAUCAGCAUGUGGGUGUGCUGUCAUUAGCACCCUGAGAGCACAACUGAACAAAACUGUAGCCCAGGGCAUUGAAAACCUCUCGGAGAGGGCCAGGUGUGACCAGCCCUGUGCCCAUCCUGCUGUGAUUCAGGAGUCUCGCAGAAGACAUCAGAAUGCCUUUCUCUGAGUCACAGUCUGUAUCUUCUAGAAAAGGCUGUCCAUCUUCACCCCAAGCCCACUGGCUCCUGAGAUACGACAUCCAGACCCAGUGCAGCUGGACCUGGCCCAGGAAGAUCAUGCGGUUUCUGGGAAGCACUGGAGAAGGAAAAGGCUGAAGAAAGGAAGACCGGAAAAGAAAUACAAGUCCUUCCGCCUUGGCAAAGAUGAUAGUACCGUUCCCUUCAGUGUUCCGGUUCUGCUCUAUUGGAUAAGUUCCGGUUUGACUAUGACUACGUGAAAAUGUGGAACCAGACCUUCACCCCACAUUCCAGCUCCAGCUCUACCACAGAGGAAGUGCAAUAUCACCUUAGUUAUUCAACACAUUAUGCUCCUCGUGAUACAACCAGAGUUCACAUCAGCAAUCUUGGCAGCUCUCACCACGCUGCUGACUCACGACUCUCUCAUGUCCCAAUUUCCUGUCCAUUGUUCUUUCCUCUACUUGGCCUGAUUUCUAAAGGCCUCUCUUGGUUGCAUUAAGCGGGAUUCCUGAGGGAUUCCCUUGGCAGUUACCUUGGGGGAGCUCUUAGGUUUGGGGCUGAUCCAUGUCCUCUAAAUGUAGGACUUCAAAGCUCCCAAAGAUAGGCAGGCCCAGUGGGAAGCUGGGAAAUGCUCUCUGACCCCUCUGGGAGGGCUGGCAGUCAGAGGGCCUUUUGGAAAGAGUCAGACCUGAUCCAUAAGUCCCUGGAAAACACCCUGCCCAGGGAGCAAAUGCCACUGUGGCCUUGACUGAGGCUUCAGAAGAGUUUGGGAGCUGCAAUUCAUCCACACACGCAUUCAUUUUCAAGUAGUGGUUUGCAGUUCAGGCUUUGGAGCCACAUAAGCCUGGCUUCAAAGCCACUUUCCAGCUUUGUAGGAAGUCUCUACAUUUUUAAACCUCCAUUUUUUUUUCCUGUAAAACUGGGGUCUUCAUGGUACUUAACUUCAUCGUGAUGUUGAGAGAAUGAAAAGAAAAAGGAUAAAUAAAUGGCUUAGCCUCGUGCCUUGGCA
This 1430-nucleotide long non-coding RNA is filed under the name Homo sapiens (human). RNAcentral describes it as "HSALNT0007606". Lineage: Eukaryota; Metazoa; Chordata; Mammalia; Primates; Hominidae. The record is from RNAcentral.